GCUUGCUCCUUUGAGACCGGCGCACGGGUGCGUAACGCGUAUGCAAUCUACCUUUCACAGAGGGAUAGCCCAGAGAAAUUUGGAUUAAUACCUCAUAGUAUAGCAGUUUCGCAUGAAACCACUAUUAAAGUCACAACGGUGAAAGAUGAGCAUGCGUCCCAUUAGCUAGUUGGUAAGGUAACGGCUUACCAAGGCAACGAUGGGUAGGGGUCCUGAGAGGGAGAUCCCCCACACUGGUACUGAGACACGGACCAGACUCCUACGGGAGGCAGCAGUGAGGAAUAUUGGACAAUGGGCGCAAGCCUGAUCCAGCCAUGCCGCGUGCAGGAUGACGGUCCUAUGGAUUGUAAACUGCUUUUGUACAGGAAGAAACACCUCUACGUGUAGAGACUUGACGGUACUGUAAGAAUAAGGAUCGGCUAACUCCGUGCCAGCAGCCGCGGUAAUACGGAGGAUCCAAGCGUUAUCCGGAAUCAUUGGGUUUAAAGGGUCCGUAGGCGGUUUAGUAAGUCAGUGGUGAAAGCCCAUCGCUCAACGGUGGAACGGCCAUUGAUACUGCUAGACUUGAAUUAUUAGGAAGUAACUAGAAUAUGUAGUGUAGCGGUGAAAUGCUUAGAGAUUACAUGGAAUACCAAUUGCGAAGGCAGGUUACUACUAAUUGAUUGACGCUGAUGGACGAAAGCGUGGGUAGCGAACAGGAUUAGAUACCCUGGUAGUCCACGCCGUAAACGAUGGAUACUAGCUGUUGGGCGCAAGUUCAGUGGCUAAGCGAAAGUGAUAAGUAUCCCACCUGGGGAGUACGUUCGCAAGAAUGAAACUCAAAGGAAUUGACGGGGGCCCGCA
Molecule: ribosomal RNA, 843 nt
Filed under: uncultured bacterium
Lineage: Bacteria
Description: bacterial SSU rRNA
Rfam family: Bacterial small subunit ribosomal RNA
Source: RNAcentral